Manis javanica (Malayan pangolin) is the source of this 3734-nucleotide non-coding RNA. The record is from RefSeq and is a predicted model, not a curated record. NCBI's taxonomy places the organism in Eukaryota, Metazoa, Chordata, Mammalia, Pholidota, Manidae.
CUGGGCCGGCUUCCAAGGCCGCUAUUGUGGCCGUUCAUCAGCGGCAGUCCCAGCGUGGGGGCCCUGGAAUGGUCGUCGAGAAGGCAGACACAGGGGAGCCGGAAGUCACGUGAGACUGACUGUGGGUUCAGGACCCAGCCCAUGCUCCGGGUGCCACAGACAAGGAAGCAUUCCUUUAGCUUCAAGAUGUCCAAUCCCCAGCUGAACAGACAAGCUGGCUGGGCAUGGAGCCUGGUGCCCAGACCACUGGCCUGAGGGUGCCAGGCAGCUUCCACCUCUCUGACUACUCCACCUGAGAGGUUUUCACUCCGGACCAUGCCCCCUUCCCAGGCUCUUUCAGAAGUGAGGAGGGGACUUAUCUCUGGUUGUCACAUUUCUGGGGACCCUGCAGCGCUGAGUGGGCAGGUGCCAGGGAUACCAAAUGCCCCACACCGUGCACUCAGCUCCACUGUGAUGGUCAAUUUUCUGUCACCUUGGCUGCACCACAGGGCCCAGUUUGCUCCAACACCAGUCUAGACGUUGCUGUGAGGGUGCAUUUUAGACAGACGAGCGUUGUACUCAGUAGACUUUAAGUAAAGUAGAUGCCCCCGCUAGCGUGUGGGACCAGCCAAGGGCCUUAGGAGGAAAGACUGGUUCCCAGAAGAGAAAGGAAUUCUGCCUCCAGACGGCCUUGGGCUCAAAUGCAACAUCACUCCUGCAAAAUUUCCAGCCUGCCGCCUGCCUGCAGAUCUCAGGUGUGCCAGCCCCCAGUCUCAUAAGCCAAGUCCUUAAAGUCCAUGUCUUUCUAUAUAUACACACACAUAUCAUAGGAUAUAUAUAUAUAUAUAUAUAUAUAUAGCUCCUAAUGGUUCUGUUUCUCUGAAGAACCUUGACUAAUACAAUCACCCUGCCCCAAACACUACUGGGGCCCCCCAGAGAGCCACCGAGUGGCCUGGACCAGUCCCACAGGCCUCUAAAAUAAGGGGAUGGGCCGGGAGGCCACUACACACUAAAAUUUCUGAGGUUCUACAUUAAAAGUGGACCCUGUGAGGCAGCCCGUGGGCAGGCCCCUGGUGCCUAGAAGAGAUGAGCUUCCCGUGGUGGAAUGAGCCCGAGUCAUCCGCAGCCCCUCCCCGUGAGGCUGCCUGGGCACCCGCCCACCUCCUCAACGCCUGCAGCCCCUCUGCGAAUGGAUCCAGCCUGGGGCCCUUCUCGGAUCUGAGCGGGAGGCUCGGAUCUUCAGUUAAUUGGCAAAACAGGGCUGUGCGAGGCCAUGACAGCAGCCAAGUCUGUCCAGUGGGGGGCCCCAGGGAGGGUCUCUGGCCUGUGUUUUUCUUGCCAGGUUCUUCUGGAGGCCGUGUUGGCUCUGAAACCUCAGGGCACGACCUUGCUCAGAAGCGCAGCUGCGGACAAGCAGGGCCGGGGAGGAGGGCUGGGCUGCCCCAAGCCACCCAGCCGUGUCAGGCCCCAAGCCGCCCGGACAGCUGGGUCACGAGCCCUCGUGGGGCAGCCUCACCGUCUGGCCUGAGUGUUCAGAAAGUCUGCGUCUCCUGGGGGCCUCCAACCUUGACUGCCAGAGAAAUGGCUUAAAACAACAGACACUCAUGAUCUCCCAUUAUUCCUGUUGGGAAGGAGUCCGGGCACAGCUUAGCUGGGUCCUCUGGCCCGGGGUCUCUCUGCAGGCUUCAGUCAAGCUGUCGGCCAGCCGUGUUCUCAUCUGCAGACUCGACUGGGUGGGGAACCUGCUUCUAAGCUCACUCCUGCGGCUGUGGUUGGGCGGCGAACAUGCUGUGAGCUGUGGGCUGUGAGCCUCACUUCUUGACUCUUUGCUGUUGGCUGAAGGUUCUUUGCUGUGUGGACGGCUCCACCAGGCAGCUCACAGCACAGCAGCUGGUUUCCCUUGGAACAAGUGAGAAGCCACAGGGACACAGGAUUUUGAAGAAAUGCCAGUCCCUCUCCACCCGCUCUCAGCAUGAGGAUGUCACAGGGCCACACUCACUGCCUGGGCAGGCAGCCACCUGACCAAGGAGCAGGCUCAUCGCAACGUUCCCGAGGUUCAGACCCUCUAAAAUCCAGAAAAGGGCUUUGGGUGGUCGGUUGUCUGGCCCAGCUCAAGGGACAGAGCCCCAGAGGUGCCAACAGCUUAGCCUGUAUCGCAGAUUUGCUCCUCUGCUCCUCUCUCUGUGGGGUGCACAGGAUGGCCACACCCUGCCUGUCCCACAGUGAAAAAGCUGAACCAAAGAAGUCGCCUGAAUUUCUGUCCCCUCGUGUCCACUAAAUGGUUCGCCACGGGCCUGACAGAGCUCAGUUCUAUGUCUAAGAGUGGCCAAAGGAUACCCCGAGGAGCGGCGAGUGGAAGGCCGUGGCUGUUCACUGCGGGCUGCCCAGGUUCUGGGCCAAUGGCCUGGCACCACCGUGAUGACCCUGAUUGAAGAACGAGAUCUGCACUGGAUUUCUGGCUCCUGGGGUUUUACCAUGUGCCUCCAGGUGGCUCAGUUAACCUUUUGUGCCCUGGCUUGCAAAGGAGAGAAGAUACCUGCCCUGCCCGCCUGGAGGGUCCACUGUGGCUGUGUGCGUGCACGUGCGUGUCCAGGCGUGUGUGUGGAAGUGCUUUCAGACUGCAGAGAUGCAAGUGCAGACAGGAUCCCGGACAAGGGCGGGCUGCACAGAUCUCGGCCUGCAGCUCAGAGGAAGGAAGGUGUGCUGGGGCAUAGGGCGCCGAGCACGAGGGGAGGGCCUGGGUUCUCGACACAGAGGAUCUGCGUUUCAGCCACGCAUCUGCUGUGUGACCUUGGACGAGCCACUUGUUCCUGGGUGUCAGCUUCCCCACCUGUAAGUGAAGGCACCCAGGCUUUGGGUGCUGGUGGCUCCAGUGAGCCGCCACGACCCUGGUAUCCUGGGCCUCUCAGCAGCUGCCUUGAAGCACAGCCUGCCAGUUCUCCAUCCCACCUGCACCACGCCCACCAGCCUUGCCAGGCUCAGGCAAACAGAUAGCAGGCCUCCCCGAGGCUGGAAAAAAGCCUCUGUGUGAACGAGAAAGCCCGAGGCCCCACAGUGACACGGUGUCUCCACGGCAAAGACCAGGAUGUCACAGCCAGGAAAGGCAACGAGAGCUCCAGGAAUCACAGAUGUCUGCGCCACGAGUAGAGGGCGACGGGGGAGACAGGGGCCAGGGCAGCAGCUUCUCCCCAAAAGGGGAAGGGACAGGAAUCGAGAUGCAGGAGGAAGAGGGGGGCCCGGAAGAAGGCCGGGUCCAGUACACACCAGCUGGAGUGCAAGAGCCCAGGGGAGCCCAGGCCUCAGACCUCAAGGGGGCGCUCGCUUUAGGGAGGAGAGCGAGGCUGUGGCCAAGGGGGGCUGGACGGCUAGGGCGAGGCCAGUGUCCACUCUCCCUCCUCCAGGGACAGAAGCUGCUGGCAGUUCCCACCCGGGACAGGUUCAAAAGUGAGAAGGUGUGAAUGGGGGACUACAGGUCGACGGCCCUGGUGCCCACAAGCCCAAGCCUCCCCUGAGACGAGGGGGGUCAGAGAGCAUCUCCAAAGCAAAACAGCCAAGAAACAGCACUGGAAGCAACUAUUCAGACUCAAGGAGGCGCCCAUCACCACCACGGAACAUGGAAACAGGAGCGGUCACCUCAGGGUGCGAGAAGGGAGGGGCAGGGCCCAGCUGGCACCGCCUGUGCUACUUUCUUAUGUAUGAAUUUGACUCCUUUAGGGGUCUUAUGUGAGUGGGAUCAUAAAGAAUUUGUCUUUUUC